This 421-nucleotide ribosomal RNA is filed under the name uncultured bacterium. Its description in RNAcentral is "bacterial SSU rRNA". It matches the Rfam family "Bacterial small subunit ribosomal RNA", at positions 355 to 776 of the family's 1533-position model. The record is from RNAcentral.
UGGGGAAUCUUGCGCAAUGGCCUAACGGCUGACGCAGCGACGCCGCGUGGAGGAUGACGCCCUUCGGGGUGUAAACUCCUGUUGCCCGGGACGAAUAGCCCGUUUCGACGGGUCUGACGGUACCGGGUGAGGAAGCACCGGCUAACUCCGUGCCAGCAGCCGCGGUAAUACGGAGGGUGCGAGCGUUGUCCGGAAUCACUGGGCGUAAAGGGCGCGUAGGCGGUGGGGUAAGCGUGUGGUGAAAGUCCGGGGCUCAACCCCGGAUCGGCCGUGCGAACUGCUUCACUUGAGCACUGUAGAGGCAGGUGGAAUUCCGGGUGUAGCGGUGGAAUGCGUAGAGAUCCGGAAGAACACCGGUGGCGAAGGCGGCCUGCUGGGCAGUGGCUGACGCUGAGGCGCGACAGCGUGGGGAGCAAACAGG